AGUGAACGCUGGCGGUAGGCCUAACACAUGCAAGUCGAACGGCAGCACAGUAAGAGCUUGCUCUUACGGGUGGCGAGUGGCGGACGGGUGAGGAAUACAUCGGAAUCUACUUUUUCGUGGGGGAUAACGUAGGGAAACUUACGCUAAUACCGCAUACGACCUACGGGUGAAAGCAUGGGAUCUUCGGACCUUGCGCGAUUGAAUGAGCCGAUGUCGGGUUAGCUAGUUGGCGGGGUAAAGGCCCACCAAGGCGAGGAUCCGUAGCUGGUCUGAGAGGAUGAUCAGCCACACUGGAACUGAGACACGGUCCAGACUCCUACGGGAGGCAGCAGUGGGGAAUAUUGGACAAUGGGCGCAAGCCUGAUCCAGCCAUACCGCGUGGGUGAAGAAGGCCUUCGGGUUGUAAAGCCCUUUUGUUGGGAAAGAAAAGCAGCAGGUUAAUACCCCGCUGUUCUGACGGUACCCAAAGAAUAAGCACCGGCUAACUUCGUG
RNAcentral lists this ribosomal RNA (492 nucleotides) under uncultured bacterium. RNAcentral's name for it is "partial 16S ribosomal RNA". It matches the Rfam family "Bacterial small subunit ribosomal RNA", at positions 29 to 507 of the family's 1533-position model. The record is from RNAcentral.